GAGCGUUCCGUAAGCCUGCGAAGGGGCACUGUGAGGUGUCCUGGAGGUAUCGGAAGUGAGAAUGCUGACAUGAGUAGCGACAAAGAGUGUGAGAAACACUCUCGCCGUAAGUCCAAGGGUUCCUGCGCAAGGCUAAUCCGCGCAGGGUGAGUCGGCCCCUAAGACGAGGGUGAAAGCCGUAGUCGAUGGGAAUCAGGUUAAUAUUCCUGAACCUGGUGGUAGUGACGGAUGCCGGAAGUUGUCUCCUCUUAUCGGAUUGAGGGGGCAGCCUGGGCAUUCCAGGAAAUAGCUCCACCGUUAAGACCGUACCCGAAACCGACACAGGUGGACUGGUAGAGAAUACCAAGGCGCUUGAGAGAACGAUGUUGAAGGAACUCGGCAAAAUACCUCCGUAAGUUCGCGAGAAGGAGGCCCAGUUUCUACGCAAGUAUUGGCUGGGGGCACAAACCAGGGGGUGGCGACUGUUUACUAAAAACACAGGGCUCUGCGAAGUCGCAAGACGACGUAUAGGGUCUGACGCCUGCCCGGUGCCGGAAGGUUAAGAGGAGAGGUUC
Molecule: ribosomal RNA, 554 nt
Filed under: Gambierdiscus australes
Lineage: Eukaryota; Dinophyceae; Gonyaulacales; Pyrocystaceae
Description: partial Bacterial large subunit ribosomal RNA
Rfam family: Bacterial large subunit ribosomal RNA
Source: RNAcentral